RNAcentral lists this small RNA (79 nucleotides) under Flavobacterium micromati. Its description in RNAcentral is "Flavo-1 RNA". It matches the Rfam family "Flavo-1 RNA". The record is from Rfam by way of RNAcentral. Lineage: Bacteria; Pseudomonadati; Bacteroidota; Flavobacteriia; Flavobacteriales; Flavobacteriaceae.
UCCUAGCCCCGAUAGCAGUGAAAAUCCUUUUUAUUCGCCUCAGCGAAUAAAAAGAUUGAAACGAAUAGCGGGAAAUAGC